CAAUGGAGCAGAAAAUCUUGGAGGAAACAUUAAUAUCAAUCUAAUGACAUUCCAUAGGAAAAAAAAUCCAAUGGGAUCCAGUUCUUAGCAGUCCCAGCCUAGUCAGAAGUACAAAGUCAAAUACCAUUUGCACAUCACCAAGAGGUACAAUCUGAUGAGUAACAGGAUAUCUGAUCUAAAAGCUUGCAAGGUUUCACAUGCUGUUUGAGUAUCACCAGGGCAGAUCAAGAAGAAAUAUGAAGGCCAGGUUCAUAACAAGCAGUAACUUCAUUGCAAUUACAGAUUUAAAUUAAAAAAAUGAAUGAAUUUAGAUAAAUGUGUCAAUACAUAUUGAAUGUUGCUUAAACUA
RNAcentral lists this long non-coding RNA (349 nucleotides) under Lytechinus variegatus (green sea urchin). RNAcentral describes it as "uncharacterized LOC121409463, transcript variant X1". Lineage: Eukaryota; Metazoa; Echinodermata; Echinoidea; Temnopleuroida; Toxopneustidae. The record is from RNAcentral.